GCAGUCCCUCUUCGUAUCGAACUAGCAUCAAGAGGAAAAAAAAUAGAGAGUGCGGAAAUGAGAGCGAGAGCCUAGCAAGUUUUGUUACCAAACAACCAAAUAUAAGGAGGAUACCGUGAGGAAGACAGGAGAAGCUGGGAAUAGGACUAAGGAACUAGAACCGGAACUUAAGCAGCUUGCACCAACGAACUUUGAGGAAGAAAAAGGUAACAACUCACUGUUUAAAUGGUAUAAUUGGUAUAACAUGAACUAUAAGUUGAGCUUAGUUAGAACUGUAACUUCUGGUUCAAGGAAGUGGUGUGCAGAAACUGUAAAAAUGUAGAAAACUGAGCUUCGACUGAAGAAAUGAAGUAUUUCGGUUAGUUAUCAGGAGUAAUAACUCUAGAAUUUCCUGUGAUAGUCUGUAAAGUAUGCAUGGCAUCUUGAUUACUUCACGCCUGAGAUGAUAAGCUCGAGAGAGAGAACUAAACUUGAAGGAAAUCUAAUGUCUGCUGUUAUGUAGCAGAUUUUGCAGCUAAGUACAGGAGCGAGGCUUAGUCCAACCUUUCUUCUAAAUCCUGGUCAUAAACUGCCUUAUCUUACGUAAGAUAAUUUGUAGCUGAGUCAUUUCUCUUCAUACAGUUAGCUGGAACAUAAAACUGAAGAGAAACAAAAGGGAAAUGCAACUGCUAAGUCUUUACCUGCUGGAACUUUUUUUAGCUUCGUCCGAGAGAAAGGAACUGGUUGUGCAGAUCGUAUGGUACAAUUUUCUUAUAGAAGCUCAAGCUAUACGCUACUUCCUUGUCUUACCUGAGAACCUAGUGUAGAGUUGAUAGCUUGAGUGAGAAUAUUUCAAUGAUUAGCAGGAAGUUUUGCUUAGCUGACCGAGAGAAGAAAUAAGGAAACUGUCCAGGUUUCUUUAUAGAUUUUGGUUCCAAACUCCUACGAAUUCAUUGUCUAAUGUUUUGGUCUUAACAUGCAUGUUGGAUUUGGGAGUGAAAUGGCGUAGUUAAUGGGAAAUUUCUUGCUUAAAAAGUGAU
RNAcentral lists this long non-coding RNA (1019 nucleotides) under Coffea arabica (coffee). RNAcentral describes it as "long non-coding RNA (CARA_LNC006231)". The record is from RNAcentral. Lineage: Eukaryota; Viridiplantae; Streptophyta; Magnoliopsida; Gentianales; Rubiaceae.